CCAAAUUAGCAUUAGAAAACCGAAUUUGAAAUUCAAAAUGAAUUUCACUUUAUUGACCAAACAAAACCUUAAAUGAAUAUAAAAGAAUUCACGUAUUAGUUCGGUCCCUCAAAAUAAUUGAAAUGUUUUAAACGGCCUCAAAACCUGAAAUCAACUUUUUAUUCCUUAAAAAUUGCCUUUGUCCCAAAACCAGAGAAUCUUUCAACUUAAAGGACUGAAUUGAAAUUUUGAAAGAAAAGC
This 240-nucleotide long non-coding RNA is filed under the name Erythranthe guttata (spotted monkey flower). RNAcentral's name for it is "long non-coding RNA (EGUT_LNC003786)". The record is from RNAcentral. Lineage: Eukaryota; Viridiplantae; Streptophyta; Magnoliopsida; Lamiales; Phrymaceae.